AGGGAGUUUGAUCCUGGCUCAGGACGAACGCUGGCGGCGUGCCUAACACAUGCAAGUCGAGCGGGGACAUGCGACGGAGAUGAAGAUUUCGGUUGGAUUCAAAGAUGUAUUGUUCUAGCGGCGGACGGGUGAGUAACGCGUGAGCAACCUGUCCCUUACAGGGGGAUAACACAGCGAAAGUUGUACUAAUACCGCAUAAGACCACGGGUUCACAUGGACCAGGGGUCAAAGGAGCAAUCCGGUGAGGGGUGGGCUCGCGUCCGAUUAGAUAGUUGGUGAGGUAACGGCCCACCAAGUCGACGAUCGGUAGCCGACCUGAGAGGGUGAUCGGCCACAUUGGGACUGAGACACGGCCCAAACUCCUACGGGAGGCAGCAGUGGGGAAUAUUGGGCAAUGGGGGAAACCCUGACCCAGCAACGCCGCGUGAGGGAAGAAGGUUUUCGGAUCGUAAACCUCUGUCCUUGGUGAAGAGAGAGAGACGGUAGCCAAGGAGGAAGCCCCGGCUAACUACGUGCCAGCAGCCGCGGUAAUACGUAGGGGGCGAGCGUUGUCCGGAAUGAUUGGGCGUAAAGGGCGCGUAGGCGGCCCCUUAAGUCUGGAGUGAAAGUCCUGUUUUUAAGAUGGGAAUUGCUUUGGAUACUGGGGGGCUUGAGUGCAGGAGAGGUAAGUGGAAUUCCCAGUGUAGCGGUGAAAUGCGUAGAGAUUGGGAGGAACACCAGUGGCGAAGGCGACUUACUGGACUGUAACUGACGCUGAGGCGCGAAAGCGUGGGGAGCAAACAGGAUUAGAUACCCUGGUAGUCCCCU
This 807-nucleotide ribosomal RNA is filed under the name uncultured Bacillota bacterium. RNAcentral describes it as "bacterial SSU rRNA". It matches the Rfam family "Bacterial small subunit ribosomal RNA", at positions 9 to 799 of the family's 1533-position model. The record is from RNAcentral. Lineage: Bacteria; Bacillati; Bacillota.